GAUGAACGCUGGCGGCGUGCCUAAUACAUGCAAGUCGAGCGAACGGACGAGAAGCUUGCUUCUCUGAUGUUAGCGGCGGACGGGUGAGUAACCCGUGGAUAACCUACCUAUAAGACUGGGAUAACUUCGGGAAACCGGAGCUCAUACAGGAUAUUUUUUUGAACCGCAUGGUUCAAAAGUGAAAGACGGUCUUGCUGUGACUUAUAGUUGGAUCCGCGCUGCUUUAGUUAGUUGUUAAGGUAACGGCUUACCAAGGCAACGAUGCAUAGCCGACCUGAGAGAGGGAUCGGCAACACUGAAACGAAGACACGGUCCAAACUCCUACGGGAGGCAGCGGUAGGGAAUCUGCCGCAAUGGGCGAAAGCCUAACGAGGCAACGCCGCGUGAGUAAGGAGGGUCUUCGGUUCGUAAAACUCUGUUAUUGGGGAGAAACAUAUGUGGAAAUAACUGUGCACAUCUGGACGGUACCGAAUCAGAAAGCCACGGCUAACUACGU
Molecule: ribosomal RNA, 496 nt
Filed under: uncultured bacterium
Lineage: Bacteria
Description: partial 16S ribosomal RNA
Rfam family: Bacterial small subunit ribosomal RNA
Source: RNAcentral